UGAGGAAUAUUGGGCAAUGCCCGCAAGGGUGACCCAGCAACGCCGCGUGGAGGAUGAAUGUCGUAAGAUUGUAAACUCCUGUUAGAGGGGAAGAAUAGUACCGGUUGGACCGGUAUAUGACUGUACCCUCAGAGAAAGCCCCGGCUAACUACGUGCCAGCAGCCGCGGUAAUACGUAGGGGGCAAGCGUUGUCCGGAUUUACUGGGCGUAAAGAGCUCGUAGGCGGUUUGUCGCGUCUGCUGUGAAAACCCGAGGCUCAACCUCGGGCCUGCAGUGGGUACGGGCAAACUAGAGUGCGGUAGGGGAGAUUGGAAUUCCUGGUGUAGCGGUGGAAUGCGCAGAUAUCAGGAGGAACACCGAUGGCGAAGGCAGAUCUCUGGGCCGUAACUGACGCUGAGGAGCGAAAGCAUGGGGAGCGAACA
Molecule: ribosomal RNA, 422 nt
Filed under: uncultured bacterium
Lineage: Bacteria
Description: bacterial SSU rRNA
Rfam family: Bacterial small subunit ribosomal RNA
Source: RNAcentral